RNAcentral lists this ribosomal RNA (488 nucleotides) under uncultured bacterium. Its description in RNAcentral is "partial 16S ribosomal RNA". It matches the Rfam family "Bacterial small subunit ribosomal RNA", at positions 28 to 507 of the family's 1533-position model. The record is from RNAcentral.
GACGAACGCUGGCGGCGUGCUUAACACAUGCAAGUCGAACGGAAAGGCCCUGCUUUUGUGGGGUGCUCGAGUGGCGAACGGGUGAGUAACACGUGAGUAACCUGCCCUUGACUUUGGGAUAACUUCAGGAAACUGGGGCUAAUACCGGAUAGGAGCUCCUGCUGCAUGGUGGGGGUUGGAAAGUUUCGGCGGUUGGGGAUGGACUCGCGGCUUAUCAGCUUGUUGGUGGGGUAGUGGCUUACCAAGGCUUUGACGGGUAGCCGGCCUGAGAGGGUGACCGGCCCAACUGGAACGGAGACAAGGGCCAGGGUACGACGGGAGGCAGCAGGGGGGAAGAGGGGACAAUGGGCGGAAGCCUGAUCCAGCCGUACCGCGUGUGUGACGAAGGCCUGCGGGGUGUAAAGGCGUUUGGUUGGGAAAGAAAAGCAGCAGGUUAAUACCCCGCUGUUGUGACGGGAACCAAAGAAUAAGCACCGGCUAACUUCGGG